This 328-nucleotide unclassified non-coding RNA is filed under the name plant metagenome. RNAcentral describes it as "partial contains 5.8S ribosomal RNA, internal transcribed spacer 2, and large subunit ribosomal RNA". The stretch from base 1 to 105 matches the Rfam family "5.8S ribosomal RNA", at positions 50 to 154 of the family's 154-position model. The record is from RNAcentral.
GAAAUGCGAUAAGUAAUGUGAAUUGCAGAAUUCAGUGAAUCAUCGAAUCUUUGAACGCACAUUGCGCCCGUCAGCAUUCUGGCGGGCAUGCCUGUUCGAGCGUCAUUUCAACCCUCAGGACCCCCCUUUCGCGGGGAGGGACCUGGCGUUGGGGAUCGGCCCGCCCCCGCGGCGGCGCCGUCCCCGAAAUCUAGUGGCGGUCUCGCGGCAGCCUCCCCUGCGUAGUAGUUACAACCUCGCAUCGGAGCGCGGCGCGGCCACGCCGUAAAACCCCCGACUUUCUGAACGUUGACCUCGGAUCAGGUAGGAAUACCCGCUGAACUUAAGC